CUGCCCACUGAAGAUUUAAUGGCCGCAGUAAUUUAACUGUGCGAAGGUAGCAUAAUAAUUAGUUUUUUAAUUGAGAGCUGGAAUGAAUGAUUGGACGAGAAAUAAACUAUCUUUAUAUUAAAAUAUUAUAAUUUUAUUUUUAAGUUAGAAAGCUUAAAUUUAUUUUGAGACGAGAAAACCCCAUACACUUUUAUAUUUAUAUUUUUUAUAUCAAGUUAUUACUAUUUUUAUUUAAUAUAAUUAAAUAUUUUAUUGGGGUGAUAUAAAAAAAUAAUAGGCUUUUUAUUAUAGCAACAAAAAUUAUUGGUUAAUUGAUCCUUUACUUAAGAUUAAUAAAUUAAAUUACCUUGGGGAUAACAGCGUAAUUUUUUUAAAGAGUUCAUAUCGAAAAAAAAGAUUGCGACCUCGAUGUUGGAUUAAGAUUUAUAUUUGGUGUAGAAUUUAAUAUAUUAAGUCUGUUCGACUUUUAAAAUCUUACAUGAUC
This 484-nucleotide ribosomal RNA is filed under the name Labomimus sp. QH21. Its description in RNAcentral is "partial large subunit ribosomal RNA". The stretch from base 353 to 484 matches the Rfam family "Archaeal large subunit ribosomal RNA", at positions 2542 to 2674 of the family's 2987-position model. Lineage: Eukaryota; Metazoa; Arthropoda; Insecta; Coleoptera; Staphylinidae. The record is from RNAcentral.